GUGACAGGUGGUGCAUGGUUGUCGUCAGCUCGUGUCGUGAGAUGUUGGGUUAAGUCCCGCAACGAGCGCAACCCUUAAGCUUAGUUGCCAUCAUUAAGUUGGGCACUCUAAGUUGACUGCCGGUGACAAACCGGAGGAAGGUGGGGAUGACGUCAAAUCAUCAUGCCCCUUAUGAUUUGGGCUACACACGUGCUACAAUGGACAAUACAAAGGGCAGCUAAACCGCGAGGUCAAGCAAAUCCCAUAAAGUUGUUCUCAGUUCGGAUUGUAGUCUGCAACUCGACUACAUGAAGCUGGAAUCGCUAGUAAUCGUAGAUCAGCAUGCUACGGUGAAUACGUUCCCGGGUCUUGUACACACCGCCCGUCACACCACGAGAGUUUGUAACACCCGAAGCCGGUGGAGUAACC
Molecule: ribosomal RNA, 408 nt
Filed under: Staphylococcus warneri
Lineage: Bacteria; Bacillati; Bacillota; Bacilli; Caryophanales; Staphylococcaceae
Description: bacterial SSU rRNA
Rfam family: Bacterial small subunit ribosomal RNA
Source: RNAcentral